Molecule: ribosomal RNA, 465 nt
Filed under: Vreelandella stevensii
Lineage: Bacteria; Pseudomonadati; Pseudomonadota; Gammaproteobacteria; Oceanospirillales; Halomonadaceae
Description: partial 16S ribosomal RNA
Rfam family: Bacterial small subunit ribosomal RNA
Source: RNAcentral
CCUACGGGACGCAGCAGUGGGGAAUAUUGGACAAUGGGCGAAAGCCUGAUCCAGCCAUGCCGCGUGUGUGAAGAAGGCCUUCGGGUUGUAAAGCACUUUCAGUGGGGAAGAAAGCCUUGGGGCUAAUACCCUCGAGGAAGGACAUCACCCACAGAAGAAGCACCGGCUAACUCCGUGCCAGCAGCCGCGGUAAUACGGAGGGUGCGAGCGUUAAUCGGAAUUACUGGGCGUAAAGCGCGCGUAGGCGGUCUGAUAAGCCGGUUGUGAAAGCCCCGGGCUCAACCUGGGAACGGCAUCCGGAACUGUCAGGCUAGAGUGCAGGAGAGGAAGGUAGAAUUCCCGGUGUAGCGGUGAAAUGCGUAGAGAUCGGGAGGAAUACCAGUGGCGAAGGCGGCCUUCUGGACUGACACUGACGCUGAGGUGCGAAAGCGUGGGUAGCAAACAGGAUUAGAUACCCGGGUAGUC